RNAcentral lists this ribosomal RNA (465 nucleotides) under uncultured bacterium. RNAcentral's name for it is "bacterial SSU rRNA". It matches the Rfam family "Bacterial small subunit ribosomal RNA", at positions 338 to 795 of the family's 1533-position model. The record is from RNAcentral.
CCUACGGGGGGCAGCAGUGGGGAAUAUUGGACAAUGGGCGCAAGCCUGAUCCAGCCAUACCGCGUGAGUGAAGAAGGCCCUCGGGUUGUAAAGCUCUUUUGUUGGGAAAGAAAUCCUGUCGGUUAAUACCUGGCGGGGAUGACGGUACCCAAAGAAUAAGCACCGGCUAACUUCGUGCCAGCAGCCGCGGUAAUACGAAGGGUGCAAGCGUUACUCGGAAUUACUGGGCGUAAAGCGUGCGUAGGUGGUUGUUUAAGUCUGUCGUGAAAGCCCUGGGCUCAACCUGGGAAUUGCGAUGGAUACUGGGCAACUAGAGUGUGGUAGAGGGUGGCGGAAUUCCCGGUGUAGCAGUGAAAUGCGUAGAGAUCGGGAGGAACAUCCGUGGGGAAGGCGGCCACCUGGGCAAACACUGACACUGAGGCACGAAAGCGUGGGGAGCAAACAGGAUUAGAUACCCUUGUAGUC